AUGUGUGUGUGUGUGUGUGUGUGUGUGUGUGUGUGUGUGUCUGUGUGUGUAUACUUACAGUCAGACCCUGAUCCCCCAACAGCUACAGCAUUCCUUUCUGCGACGUUUGAAACGUUCGCGACGUAUCAGACGUCUGCAACGUCUGCUAGGUCUGCUACGUCUGCUACGUCUGCUACGUCUGCUAGGUCUGCUACGUCUGCUAGGUCUGCUACGUCUGCAAUCUCUGCCAUUCCUGAAACGUCGGCAACUUCUGCUAAAUUUGAGCCAUAUGCAACGUCUGCGAUGUGCGUACUCCCUCCUCCGCUUUUCCCUCCUAAGUCUGUAAUAGGCCUUCUUCCAGCGCGACAUGGGCCUCUUGACACACCGGUAUUUACAGGUAUAUGGACCCUUGGGUUUGUGUUUGAAGAUGGUACACUUAUCUUGCCUCAUGCUACAUCUGGAAACAGAGAGGAGAUGUGAUCAGAACCAGAACCAGAGGUGGACCGCACACUGCCACGCUGCUCAUCUCUACAUUUGUCCCAUAAUAACCAUGUUAUUGUUGCCCUCAAGCGGACGGAACGUGAAUCAUGUAGAUGUUGUUUUACCUUUUAAGUAUGGCAGCCUCGGUUGUAAAGAAACAACGAGCAGUGUUACGUCCGAUGGUCACCCCAUAACACGGCUUUCUGUCCCUGUAACAGUUCACCUUUACCACCUGGCCACGACCUGGAGGAGAGAGAAGUGUCACACAGUGAAGACUUCGUGUCAUUCGGUCACGAGCUGACAAACAGACUGAACGUAGUCGACGAGGACAGACAGAAAGACGAGUGUGUGUUGACUCACCGCAGGCCAACAGUGUGUACCACUUCCGGACUUUGAUUUGCACUCCCUCUGUGAAGACACACAGGUGAGACUGUGACAUCAUCAUAUCAUCAUUUACAUUUGAUAUUUAUUACCAUUACACAUAUUUCUGUAUUAACACUCAUAAACUGAUCAUAAAAGCUGUAAAAGCACCAGAACAGUAAAUAAUAAUGAUGAUCGAGCAGGAUAAAAACUCACCAGCAUCUCCAGAGAAACACCAAGCUGCAGCCAGCACUGUAACACAACACAGUAACACAACACUGUAACACAACACAGUAACACAACACUGUAACACAACACUGUAACACAACACAGUAGCACAUCAGAGGUCUUUAUUGUGACUCAAAGCUGAGGUGAAGGUGUGAACGUGUCUGGACCCUCUGAGGGUUCAGAACAUCAUCACCUGGGAUCAGUUCACCUUCAGCACCAACAUCAUCAUUAGAAAUGACAACAUACGUGUAGGAAGAAAGUCAGUGACACAUGUGGAGUCACAGAGAGUAACUAAGUACAUGUACUCAGUCAGUCAGUGACACAUGUGGAGUCACAGAGAGUAACUAAGUACAUGUACUCAGUCAGUCAGUGAGUACUGGACUGUAUAAAUGUACUCCACUACAUCUGAGAGGAUACUCACGGCCGAGGACGAUGAGGCUGAGUCGGACCAUGUUGGCUUCUCUCAGCUUCUCUUCUGUCUUCACCUGAAGACCGUCUGAUGCUGAGAGCGUCUCUACGACAGGUAUUUAUGCUUCUCUCCUCGCAGCACACCUGUUGACACCUGUCCGCCGCCGGCGAAGGCAAACAGGACCUGGUGAUUUGACCAACAUGCAAAUCCCCUUUAGAGCUGCAGGGCAGAAGC
Molecule: long non-coding RNA, 1690 nt
Organism: Sparus aurata (gilthead seabream)
Lineage: Eukaryota; Metazoa; Chordata; Actinopteri; Spariformes; Sparidae
Source: Ensembl